GUUAGUGAAUUGAAGUAUUCAAGUCUUCAACGAUAUUUCAUUUUUAAGAAGUUGUUCGUCAAUUCGGUAAACUCGUUCCAACUCUUAAGUUUUAAUAUUAUAGUUUUGUUUGUUUUAUUUAGCAUAAUUAUAAUUAAUAUGGACUUUCAUUGCAAAAAAUAUUUGGUGAUAAGGCUAAGGAAAAAUCUAAAAUUGGUGAAUCUAGUCGCCAAGCUACUACUCUUCCCUCGGCUCCCCGACCCAGACCUGUUACCCGUCCU
This 260-nucleotide long non-coding RNA is filed under the name Nicotiana benthamiana. RNAcentral describes it as "long non-coding RNA (NBEN_LNC016227)". Lineage: Eukaryota; Viridiplantae; Streptophyta; Magnoliopsida; Solanales; Solanaceae. The record is from RNAcentral.